AAAGAGUUCUAUAACUCCCAAACCCAUGUGAACAUACCUUACGUUGCCUCGGCAGGUCGCGCCUACCUAGUAGCACCCUACCCUGUAGGCCUACCCGGGAGACGCGGGUAAGCCUGCCGGCGCCACGAAACUCUGUUUAAUAUUGAAUUCUGAACAUAUAACUAAAUAAGUU
Molecule: unclassified non-coding RNA, 172 nt
Filed under: Xylaria sp. CBSC II-A
Lineage: Eukaryota; Fungi; Ascomycota; Sordariomycetes; Xylariales; Xylariaceae
Description: ITS1
Source: RNAcentral